UUGGAACCCCGUCUCCUGUCGCUGGCCUGUGAUUUGGCUGUGCAGCCAGGAUGGCAGAACAAAGGAUUUCAGCUCCUCCAACUUCAGGUCCAAGCAUCCUCUGAAGGAGACAUGGGAUGGACAUUAAGGGGAGGGUGACAGUCUUGUCCGUGUGCCUAGUGAGGCAGAAGCAGGAUGGGGAAAGGGGCCUUCGUUGUACCUGUAGUCAUCGCUGGCAGCCAAGUCCCGGAUGUCUUCUUCAAUGAGAAGGAAUGACAUGAGUGCGAGGCAGCUGAGAAAGCACAGACAACUAGAGCUCCUAGCCACACUGACAGGGGCCCAGAGUCUCGGCCACUGUCAAUGUUCACGCAAGCAUACCUUGGGGCCUUCUCGGCGAAUUGGUUCACAGGAUUUUGGUUUCCAUCUGCUCAGAAGGAAAAAAGAAAGCAGCUGCCCUGAGCUCAACCCGGAUGUAAGUGGUUUCCUGAUGUCCCCCAAGUACCACUAAUG
RNAcentral lists this long non-coding RNA (489 nucleotides) under Mus caroli (Ryukyu mouse). RNAcentral describes it as "lncRNA (MGP_CAROLIEiJ_G0003309.1)". The record is from RNAcentral. Lineage: Eukaryota; Metazoa; Chordata; Mammalia; Rodentia; Muridae.